UUCAUUCUGACAUGUAAAUAUUUAUUGUGUUUCAUUCUGACAUGUAAAUAUUUGUGUUUCAUUCUGACAUUUCAUUCUGACAUGUAAAUAUUUAUUGUGUUUCAUUCUGACAUGUAAAUAUUUGAUGUGUUUUUUUAUCCUUUUAUUGUAACUCUGACCGUCAAUGACACAUUUUCAUUCUGUUUAAACGUACUAGACAAUAAGGUUUGUCUUAUCUGCUUAUCUUAAAGCUAUCUUAGUCUCUGGAUCAUUCAUUCUGUUUAAACGUACUAGACAAUAAGGUUUGUCUUAUCUGCUUAUCUUAAAGCUAUCUUAGUCUCUGGAUCAUUCAUUCUGUUUAAACGUACUAGACAAUAAGGUUUGUCUUAUCUACUUAUCUUCAAGCUAUCUUAGUCUCUGGAUCAUUCAUUCUGUUUAAACGUACUAGACAAUAAGGUUUGUCUUAUCUGCUUAUCUUAAAGCUAUCUUAGUCUCUGGAUCAUUCAUUCUGUUUAAACGUACUAGACAAUAAGGUUUGUCUUAUCUACUUAUCUUAAAGCUAUCUUAGUCUCUGGAUCAUUCAUUCUGUUUAAACGUACUAGACAAUAAGGUUUGUCUUAUCUACUUAUCUUAAAGCUAUCUUAGUCUCUGGGUCAUUCAUUCUGUUUAAACGUACUAGCCAAUAAAGUUUGUCUUAUCUGCUUAUCUUAAAGCUAUCUUAGUCUCUGGAUCAUUCAUUCUGUUUAA
Molecule: long non-coding RNA, 726 nt
Organism: Oncorhynchus keta (chum salmon)
Lineage: Eukaryota; Metazoa; Chordata; Actinopteri; Salmoniformes; Salmonidae
Exons: 3
Source: RefSeq, a predicted model, not a curated record